This 105-nucleotide non-coding RNA is filed under the name Azotobacter vinelandii. Its description in RNAcentral is "TPP sequence". It matches the Rfam family "TPP riboswitch aptamer (THI element)". From Rfam's summary of the family: Vitamin B(1) in its active form thiamin pyrophosphate (TPP) is an essential coenzyme that is synthesised by coupling of pyrimidine and thiazole moieties in bacteria. The previously detected thiamin-regulatory element, thi box was extended, resulting in a new, highly conserved RNA secondary structure, the THI element, which is widely distributed in eubacteria and also occurs in some archaea. The record is from RNAcentral. Lineage: Bacteria; Pseudomonadati; Pseudomonadota; Gammaproteobacteria; Pseudomonadales; Pseudomonadaceae.
CGGUACUUGUCGGGGUGCCCCUGUGGGGGCUGAGAUCGGCCGAGGCCGGGUCCCGUUGAACCUGAUCAGGGUGACGCCUGCGUAGGGAACAAGACGUCCUCGCUG